CAGAAUGAUGAAAACUGGGAGACGGCGCACCAGAAUACGAAGCAUCAAAAGAUCUCCCCGACCCAUCUGGUA
This is a non-coding RNA of Brassica napus (rape), 72 nucleotides long. Lineage: Eukaryota; Viridiplantae; Streptophyta; Magnoliopsida; Brassicales; Brassicaceae. The record is from Rfam.